This is a long non-coding RNA of Tympanuchus pallidicinctus (lesser prairie-chicken), 2245 nucleotides long. RefSeq lists it as uncharacterized. The transcript has 3 exons. Lineage: Eukaryota; Metazoa; Chordata; Aves; Galliformes; Phasianidae. The record is from RefSeq and is a predicted model, not a curated record.
CUGUAAGAGUAGCAUCUCUAUUUGGAGACUGCCUUCUUUAGAGUGCUUGAUGAGGUUUGAUCUUCAGAAAGGGGGAGAUUUUCAAGAGUCCUACAAUCAGUAUCUCAAAGCCUUCUGAAGAUAUAACCAUUCAUUGCAGCGCUUGGCUGGGUAAUGUUUCAGAGAAAAAAAUGUCAUCCUGUCUGAAUACACCAUGUUAGCAAGAGAGGAAAUGUACCUAUCGACAGAUGAACAGACAAAAAGACCCUGCAAUGCUUGAAAAAUAACUGGGACUUCUCAAUCACUUCUAUCUACCUGACAGCAAAGUUCACCUGCGAAGCAAGGGCAGAGUCUAAACAGCUACAGCAUAAUUUGAAAAACACUGAUGGGAGUGGGGCUGUGGAGUAAGAACACCAAAGUGCUGAUGGAUCUGCUGAAAGUGGAAGCAGCCACCAGAAGAUGUCAUCCCCCUUAAUACUGCCCAAAUGGAACAGAAGGACUCUGAGAAAUGAGGACAGCAGAUCCAGGAGAUUCGUAUCCAUCCUCAUGCUGCUAAUACUGCAGCUCCUUUAAGAUGGUAACAUUUCAUUGCUAGGAGAUAACCUGAGCUGGUAACUGUGCAGCAUCUUUUCAUACAGACUAGCUGGGGCCAUUCCAAUUGAGUAUAACAAAUGACAUAAGGAACAAUAUAAGCAGUGCUAUAAAUAAUAAUGCUGCAAUUCCAUUGAUGGCUUAUGGUGGCAUUAUAAAUGAUCGGAGCGAAGUCAGGAGGUCUCUUCACACCACCAGAGCCUCAUGCUGGAAUUAUAGAUCUAAUUUAAGUGCAUUUUGGGGGUAAAUUAUUUAUUAAAGUGUAAAGCUUAUGGAGAUAAAUGUUCAAGUAGUCAGACUCCUGGACUAGGUGAGCAUUGCUGGUCCUAAUAAUUACAGGUAGAAUUUGCCCUUGGGCAGAAGGGCUAGAUGAAGUUUUUAGCAACAUUUCAGAUAUCCAGAAGCCCUGGAGGACACUUCUUGGCACAAGGGUGCAAUCCGUAGCCUUGCAAUGAAAUGGCCUGCUUGUAUGAGCAAUCAGUUCUGAACCCAAUUUCUCAUACAUCCAUUGCAGUCAUUAAGCUGGUGUUAGGAGAUGGAGGGCAGAGAAGCCUUUCUCAGGCUGAUGGAAGAAAACAUGGGUCUUACAACUGUUGUUUUAAGUCUUCCUGUGUUAUGGCCCUGAAAUGAAGUCCUGGUGCUGUUUUCAUCUCUCGCAUGUGUUUCAUUCUAAUUUUAGCCAGAACUUGUCAGCAUUACCAAACCAGGGGAGCAAUGGUGGGGCUGUGGUGAAAUUCUCUCAGCCACGGAUUUCUUAGUGACCUCAGAGAGCCUGGAUGUGGCCGCAGAGCCCAGAAGACCAAGCUCAGGCUCUACCUGGUACUGCCUCCCUGAAGUCUGCUUUUGGGAUGGGAAGCAGAGGAAGGCUGAGCUCAUGAUCUCUGUGAGGAUGCAUUUUCUGGAGUUUUCUGUAGCAUAAAAAAUUGUCCAUGGAGCAGGAGUCUCAAGACAGUCUUGCUCCACUGGGCUGCAGUGGAGAUAAAUACAUUAAGAUGAGGUAUUAAGAUACAGUGGUAAUUAGGAGCCAUAUAAGUAACUUAGAUAUAAAAUGAAACUACUAAUAAUGCAUAAAUGCAAAGCCUUAAGAGGUUUGCUUCGUAUAAAGCACCCAGCCAUUUGGUGGCUUAGCUCAAUUCUCUGAAGCUGCAAAUUCAGCCUGAAAAUCUUAUGAGGAUAUGCUCUUUCAGUGAGAUUCUUUUUUUUCCUCCUUGUCAUAUUUAAAAUAUUGCUGAGGCCAACUUUUUGUCUACAGGCAGUGUUUUUUUCAUAGCUUCCAGCCAGACUAGAAAAUGUUGGAAGGCAGGGAAAAUAUAUUUAAAAUGUGAACUUAGCAGACUUGGGGGAAGAUCCUGAUUAAGGCACUGUAUCUAUAGGCCAGACCAGGGAGAUGAAGAUGGAAUCAGUAUUCCUGCCACUAAUUCACUCUGUAACCUUGUGUCUGUCGCUAAGCUUUUUUUUGUGCUCUAUUUUCCUUGUCAGUAAAAUGAGUAUUAUAAUAGUUACCUUCCUGAUAAGGGUUUCAGUUAAUCAAUUUCUAAAGCCCUUAAGUACAGAGAGAAGCAAGAUAGCAUAUCAACGAAGUCUAGCUUUCAUCUGUGCCUCAAUAUUCUCUGUGCUGCGUUGUCUGUAACUGAACAGGACCCGAUCUAUAUAAACCAGAAACUCUCCUAUUGAC